This 483-nucleotide ribosomal RNA is filed under the name uncultured bacterium. RNAcentral describes it as "partial 16S ribosomal RNA". It matches the Rfam family "Bacterial small subunit ribosomal RNA", at positions 30 to 507 of the family's 1533-position model. The record is from RNAcentral.
UUGCACGCUGGCGGCAGGCCUAACACAUGCAAGUCGAGCGGAUGAAGGGAGCUUGCUCCUGGAUUCAGCGGCGGACGGGUGAGUAAUACCUAGGAAUCUGCCUGGUAGUGGGGGAUAACGUCCGGAAACGGGCGCUAAUACCGCAUACGUCCUGAGGGAGAAAGUGGGGGAUCUUCGGACCUCACGCUAUCAGAUGAGCCUAGGUCGGAUUAGCUAGUUGGUGGGGUAAAGGCCUACCAAGGCGACGAUCCGUAACUGGUCUGAGAGGAUGAUCAGUCACACUGGAACUGAGACACGGUCCAGACUCCUACGGGAGGCAGCAGUGGGGAAUAUUGGACAAUGGGCGAAAGCCUGAUCCAGCCAUGCCGCGUGUGUGAAGAAGGUCUUCGGAUUGUAAAGCACUUUAAGUUGGGAGGAAGGGCAGUAAGUUAAUACCUUGCUGUUUUGACGUUACCAACAGAAUAAGCACCGGCUAACUUCGUG